AUACCAUGGUGGGGCACUUUCUUUGUAGUUCCUGAAUUCUUCUCAUGCCUCAUAGAGUGAAUCACCAUUCUUUUGAGUGAAGUUCUGAAUUUCACUCUUUAGUCU
This is a small nucleolar RNA of Argentina anserina (silverweed cinquefoil), 105 nucleotides long. The record is from RefSeq and is a predicted model, not a curated record. Lineage: Eukaryota; Viridiplantae; Streptophyta; Magnoliopsida; Rosales; Rosaceae.